RNAcentral lists this ribosomal RNA (460 nucleotides) under uncultured bacterium. RNAcentral's name for it is "partial 16S ribosomal RNA". It matches the Rfam family "Bacterial small subunit ribosomal RNA", at positions 338 to 795 of the family's 1533-position model. The record is from RNAcentral.
CCUACGGGUGGCAGCCGUGAGGAAUAUUGGUCAAUGGGCGCGAGCCUGAACCAGCCAAGUAGCGUGAAGGAUGACUGCCCUACGGGUUGUACACUUCUUUUAUAAAGGAAUAAAGUGUAGCACGUGUGCCUUUUUGUAUGUACUUUAUGCAUAAGGAACGGCUAACUCCGUGCCAGCAGCCGCGGUACUACGGAGGUUCCGAGCGUUAUCCGGAUUUAUUGGGUUUAAAGGGAGCGUAGAUGGGUUGUUAAGUCAGUUGUGAAAUUUUGCGGAUCAACCUUAAAAUUGCAAUUGAUACUGGCAGUCUUGAGUACAGUAGAGGUAGGCGGAAUUCGUGGUGUAGCGGUGAAAUGCGUAGAGAUCACGAAGAACUCCGAUUGCGAAGGCAGCUUACUAAACUGCCACUGACAUUGAUGCUCGAAAGUGUGGGUAUCAAACAGGAUUAGAUACCCUUGUAGUC